Scophthalmus maximus (turbot) is the source of this 917-nucleotide long non-coding RNA. RefSeq lists it as uncharacterized. NCBI's taxonomy places the organism in Eukaryota, Metazoa, Chordata, Actinopteri, Pleuronectiformes, Scophthalmidae. The record is from RefSeq and is a predicted model, not a curated record. The transcript is spliced from 2 exons.
GUCUUCUGGCCCCUGGGUUACUGGUAGAGACCCCUGCACCUCCUCCUUCUUCUCCCCAGGCAGAGCAGAGGCCCCUAGGGGCCCAGCCUGGAGAGCGCUGGAGACAUUUGCCGACUCAGACCUGAUGGCCCCGGGCUCCCAGUCCACCUCGAUGCCAAGUACCAAACGGCCACUCCAGAAUGGUGGCCAUCCGUCAUGUGGGCAGCCGGGGAUCCACCUUAAAGAGCGGAAACACAGAGAGAAGGAACAAUGAGACUCACUCCCGUUCUCCCUCACCUCUUCCCUCAGACAUUGAUCUGCACUGCAACAAUAUAUUAUAUCACCUCUGCUCGGGGGAUGGUGGGAGACACCUCCGUGCUUUUAUUUAACGGUUGGUGCAAUCACUAUAAAUAAAGCUACAUCACAGAGCAACAUUUUCUGUUCUGUAGUCACAUCAUAUGGAAACUUCCUACUUUAUUCAAAUAGACGUCUUUGCAGCAUUAACAGUGAUUACAUGCAGUACAGUCAGUUUUUUUAACUUAUCUACCACAUAAAGACAAGCAACAAGCAUAAAGACCGCAGCAUCAGGGGCUUCUCCAGCACCAAUACAAUAUCACACUGAGUAAAUAUGAAGUUUAUUAAAAGUACGUCAGUUCUCUGUCUUUGAUAGAAUGGAUGUCAUGUGUGGCUUGUUUGAUCUUAAGUUUACUGUUCAACUGACCUUGUGCAUUUUCUCUCUGGCUUCACAUGUAGCUGAAAAAUAUGAAGUUAUUUCUACACCAGGUUUCAUGCAUAUCUACAAAAGCUAUACUUCAUGUUUGUUAUCUUUAUUCUGUGCAAACUGAGGAGUCCAAGCAAAUAAACUGACAGAAUGAGUAUUUCCCAAAUCGCUCUGUAUAAACCCUCAGAAUAUAUACAAGAAUAAAACUGGAAAUGUA